Molecule: unclassified non-coding RNA, 2663 nt
Filed under: Pectinophora gossypiella (pink bollworm)
Lineage: Eukaryota; Metazoa; Arthropoda; Insecta; Lepidoptera; Gelechiidae
Description: fatty acyl-CoA reductase wat-like
Source: RNAcentral
CUUAACCGUGGUCCCGGAUCGACGUGUCUUGAUUAAUUAGUGAUUAUUUUUUUGUUUUUCGCUUUGGAUAUUACUUAAGCUUUCGAAAUGGAUCCGAUAUUGGCACUGGAAGUCUCAGGAGUGUCGCGUCUGCGUGCCAUCAACGACGCCACGUCGCGCGGGGACUCCGUGGUGCAGAAGGCCUACGCGGGGGGCGUAGCCUUUGUCACCGGGGCUUCAGGCUUCCUGGGCAAACAUCUCGUCGAGAAACUGUUAAGGUCAACGGACAUUAAGAAGAUUUACAUGUUAGUGAGACCGAAGAAGGGGAAGUCGGUUCAGGAGCGCCUCAACGACAUACUAUCAGACCCGGUCUUCGACACCGUCCGCAAGCAGUCACCAUUCUCUGAGAAGCUGGUUGCAGUCGCUGGUGACAUUAACGACGUCAGACUUGGUAUCACUGAUCAGGACUGGACUCUGCUGGCUAGAGAGGUGAAUUUCAUUUUCCACGGAGCAGCGACCACGCGGUUUGACGAACCGCUCGCUGUUGCAGCCAUCACCAACGUCAGAGGGACUCGAGAGGUACUCACCCUCGGGAGGAGUUGCAAGAACCUCAGAUCUUUAGUCCACAUCUCAACAGCAUUCUCCCACGCGCGGAUCAGUAUGAAACAGAAGAACGUUAUGGAACAGUUCUACGAAGUUCCGAUAACUGCGCAGGAGUUGAUCGAUAUGGCCGAGAGCGGGGUGACGGACGACGCCGCUACGAAGUUGAUGCAGGACUGGCCUAAUACCUAUUGCUUCACGAAGGCCGUAGCUGAGGAUGCUGUCAGGACCAUGUCGGAUGGCCUGCCAGUGUGCAUUGUCAGGCCUUCUAUUGUAAUCGGCGCAUACCGUGAGCCUGCUCCUGGGUGGGUGGACAUGAGUUGCGCAUACGGCCCUGCUGGGGUGAUGUUGGGCGUAGGUUUAGGGCUCGUCCACGCAGUGCUAGCAGACAGGUCGGUGAAGAUCGACAUAGUACCGGUGGAUGCUGUCAACAAUGCUGUGCUGGCGGCUGGCUGCGUGACCGCUGGCCUCCCCGCGGACACCAGCGACAUCAGGAUAUACACUGUCACGAGCUCCAGGAACCCUGUCACUUGGGGCUCGUGCGGCGACGUCCAUCGCACGGAAAGCAGGAAGAUAUCCACCCCGAAGGCGGUAUGGUACUGCUAUGCCGUGGACACCAGCAACAAAUUCCUCUUUUGGCUUCUGUUUUGGCUUCUGCACUACAUACCUGCAUACUUCGUUGACGCUGUGUGUUGGCUUAUUGGGAAGGAGCGCAGAUUCGUCAAGCUCUACACAAAGGCAUAUAAACUAUUUACACUGACAUCAUUCUUCACAACGAACUAUUGGCAGUUUAGCGACAAAAACCUUAAGCAUUUGUUAGACAAUUUAAAUGAGACGGACAAACAGAUAUACAAUUUCGAUGUUACUUGUAUUGACUGGAAGGAGCUCAUGCUGAUCUGGUGCAUGGGGCUGAGGAAGUACAUCGUCAAGGAUGGGUUGGCUGAUACGGACUACGCAGUCAAGAAGCAAUUCUGGUUGAGCAUAGCCAACGCGAUAGUUCUAUGUCUGUAUGCCUACAUGUGGUAUAAGUUAUUUACUGUUAUUUAUAGUGGUGUCAUGUUUGUAGGUAGCUUAGUUUAAUUUUAAAGGAAUUUAUGGUGCUAAUUCCAGUACGCACCAUUUAAUUUUAUUUUGAGUUAUACCCGUCAUUUUCUUAUCCGCCGGAAAGGAAAGGGACGGGUAAUCGGCAGGCAUAAAAUUUACGAAACACACGUCAAUUUUAGGCACAAAUCUAAACCAAAAAAUUUGCCAAUAACCCGACAGAAUUAAGUUUGCUAUUUGACUCGCCCGGGUUAUGCGUUCAUUCACUCAGGUGCUAAUUCCUGCAAACGCCAUCUAAAUUUAUUUUAAGUUAAACCUGUCAUUUUCUUUAUCAGUUGGAAAAGAAAGGGACGGGUAAUCGACAGGCAUAAAAUUUUAAGCAGAAAUCUAAAACAACCGUCUAAAAUUUUUACAUCAGCCAAUAAACCGACAGAGUUAAGUAGACAGCACGUCAAACGGAUUACAAUACCAGCGAUCUCGCCUAUUUUAUUCGCUCGGGUUAUUCAUUCGUUUUAAAAUUAACUUGUUGACUCCGAAUCAUCCGUCCCUUUCCUUUUCGGCGGGCGGAUAAAUGACAGGUAUAACUUAAAAUAAAAUUAGGAGGUGUGUACUGGAAUUAGCAGCAUUAUUAUUACAUAUUAAUGUGAUUUCAAGGUUAUUGCACUUGGUUUAAGAAUAAUUUUCUUUUGUCCUUGAAAGUAUUGCACAUAGAAUAGACCACGCACUGUUGAUACGAUGUCGUAAGCUGGAUAUGAUGAACCUUAUGGUGAUAAGGGAUCAGCCUAUCGCCCAUAACAUUAGUCCAGUUAGAGGACACAAUCCCUCUGUCUCGGUUAGUACUUUUGGCGGCGAGAUCAUAAAUGCAAGCACCACUAAUGGUGGUCAGUAUCUUGAAGAAUCCAACAUGGCAUGUGCUAUUGUUGCUGUGAUAAGUGCAACAAAAAAAGUGAGUAAUAAAGAUUUGAGGUUCUCAAUGAUAACCAAAACAAUCAAACAAUAUGCUGCAAAACAUAAAAUAUAUAAUUCAAAUGAAUUUAACAUUU